Molecule: ribosomal RNA, 1100 nt
Filed under: uncultured bacterium
Lineage: Bacteria
Description: bacterial SSU rRNA
Rfam family: Bacterial small subunit ribosomal RNA
Source: RNAcentral
GAUGAACGCUAGCGGCAGGCUUAACACAUGCAAGUCGAGGGGCAGCAUAAUGGUAGUAAUACUAUUGAUGGCGACCGGCGGACGGGUGCGUAACGCGUAUGCAACCUACCCUUUACAGGGGGAUAACACUGAGAAAUCGGUACUAAUACCCCAUAAUAUUCUGGGAGGCAUCUUUCGGAGUUGAAAGCUUUGGUGGUAAAGGAUGGGCAUGCGUUGUAUUAGCCAGUUGGUAAGGUAACGGCUUACCAAGGCGACGAUACAUAGGGGGACUGAGAGGUUAACCCCCCACAUUGGUACUGAGACACGGACCAAACUCCUACGGGAGGCAGCAGUGAGGAAUAUUGGUCAAUGGACGGAAGUCUGAACCAGCCAUGCCGCGUGCAGGAAGACGGCUCUAUGAGUUGUAAACUGCUUUUGUACGAGGGUAAACGCAGAUACGUGUAUCUGCCUGAAAGUAUCGUACGAAUAAGGAUCGGCUAACUCCGUGCCAGCAGCCGCGGUAAUACGGAGGAUCCAAGCGUUAUCCGGAUUUAUUGGGUUUAAAGGGUGCGUAGGCGGUUUAGUAAGUCAGCGGUGAAAUUUUGGUGCUUAACACCAAACGUGCCGUUGAUACUGCUGGGCUAGAGAGUAGUUGCGGUAGGCGGAAUGUAUGGUGUAGCGGUGAAAUGCUUAGAGAUCAUACAGAACACCGAUUGCGAAGGCAGCUUACCAAACUAUAUCUGACGUUGAGGCACGAAAGCGUGGGGAGCAAACAGGAUUAGAUACCCUGGUAGUCCACGCAGUAAACGAUGAUAGCUCGUUGUCGGCGAUACACAGUCGGUGACUAAGAGAAAUCGAUAAGCUAUCCACCUGGGGAGUACGUUCGCAAGAAUGAAACUCAAAGGAAUUGACGGGGGCCCGCACAAGCGGAGGAACAUGUGGUUUAAUUCGAUGAUACGCGAGGAACCUUACCCGGGCUUGAAAGUUACUGACGAUUCUGGAAACAGGAUUUCCCUUCGGGGCAGGAAACUAGGUGCUGCAUGGUUGUCGUCAGCUCGUGCCGUGAGGUGUCGGGUUAAGUCCCAUAACGAGCGCAACCCCUACUGAUAGUUGCCAUCAGA